GAUGAAGAACGUAGCGAAAUGCGAUACUUGGUGUGAAUUGCAGAAUUCAGUGAAUCAUCGAAUCUUUGAACGCACAUUGCGCCCGCCAGUAUUCUGGCGGGCAUGCCUGUUCGAGCGUCAUUUCAACCAUCAAGCCCCCGGCUUGUGUUGGGGACCUGCGGCUGCCGCAGGCCCUGAAAAGCAGUGGCGGGCUCGCUGUCACACCGAGCGUAGUAGCAUACAUCUCGCUCUGGGCGUGCUGCGGGUUCCGGCCGUUAAACCACCUUCAUAACCCAAGGUUGACCUCGGAUCAGGUAGGAAGACCCGCUGAACUUAAGCAUAUCAAUAAGCGGAGGA
RNAcentral lists this unclassified non-coding RNA (336 nucleotides) under soil metagenome. RNAcentral describes it as "partial contains 5.8S ribosomal RNA, internal transcribed spacer 2, and large subunit ribosomal RNA". The stretch from base 1 to 120 matches the Rfam family "5.8S ribosomal RNA", at positions 35 to 154 of the family's 154-position model. The record is from RNAcentral.